Molecule: ribosomal RNA, 494 nt
Filed under: uncultured bacterium
Lineage: Bacteria
Description: partial 16S ribosomal RNA
Rfam family: Bacterial small subunit ribosomal RNA
Source: RNAcentral
GACGAACGCUGGCGGCGUGCUUAACACAUGCAAGUCGAACGGAAAGGCCUGCUUUCCCUUGUGGAUUGCGGGUACUCGAGUGGCGAACGGGUGAGUAACACGUGCGUGAUCUGCCCCCAACUUUGGCAUAAGACUGGGAAACUGGGUCUAAUUCCCGACAGGACUGCAGGGUGGUGUCUGAGGGGUAAAACACUCUUCUGGAGGUUCGGAUUGCGCUCUCGUCCUAUGGGGUGGUAGGUGGGGAAAUGGCCUACCAGGCCGGGCCCGGGUGGCCGGCUGAGGAGGGGGGACGGCCACUUGGGAACGGGGAAACGGCCCAGACUCUUACGGAGGGAGGCAGUGGGGAAUAUUGGAAAAGGGGGAGAAGCCUAAUGCAGCGACGCGGCGUGGGGGAUGACGGCCUUCGGGUUGUAAGCUCCUUUCGACCGCGAGGAAGCCAGCUGGAUGGUAGGGUGGUGACGGUAGUGUUAGAAGAAGCACCGGCUAACUACGUG